This is a long non-coding RNA of Frieseomelitta varia, 451 nucleotides long. RefSeq lists it as uncharacterized. Lineage: Eukaryota; Metazoa; Arthropoda; Insecta; Hymenoptera; Apidae. The transcript is spliced from 4 exons. The record is from RefSeq and is a predicted model, not a curated record.
GGCGGAAAUACGGUUGCAAGCGAAGUCCAUGUGAUCCGCGUAUGAACUGCCGCUCAGUAACUAACUCCCGAACGCAACGGAACCUUGGAUUUGAUUAUUACAAGACUCAAGACUGUUGUUUUACUACGUUAUUACGGCGGAUGAAAAUGGACUAAAUGGAACUUGCGAUGAAACAUUUGCAUUCAGGGAAGUAACUUUUGUAUUUUUGUACUUUGAAGUGUAGUUUGACGAAUAUAACCGUCAUAAAGUUUGGGUCUUUUAAAAAAUUCUGUGGAAAGGAAAUCAUCGUCAAAAGGAAAAUAUCGUUACUUGCUGCACAACCUUGAACGUAUCUUCUUAGACUUGAAAAUUCGAAAUGGAAUGGGAACACGAAGAACUGGAACGAAUCGUGUUCCAGUUAAAAAGAAAAAAAUAUUUUUAUGCAUUCGACGAGGAUUUUUUUGGGUAAAUG